Molecule: ribosomal RNA, 253 nt
Filed under: uncultured bacterium
Lineage: Bacteria
Description: partial 16S ribosomal RNA
Rfam family: Bacterial small subunit ribosomal RNA
Source: RNAcentral
UACGUAGGGUGCAGGCGUUAAUCGGAAUUACUGGGCGUAAAGCGUGCGCAGGCGGUUUCUUAAGUCAGAUGUGAAAGCCCCGGGCUUAACCUGGGAACUGCGUUUGAAACUGGGAGACUUGAGUGUGGCAGAGGGGAGUGGAAUUCCACGUGUAGCAGUGAAAUGCGUAGAUAUGUGGAGGAACACCAAUGGCGAAGGCAGCGCCCUGGACGACACCUGACGCUGAGGCACGAAAGCUGGGGGAGCAAACAGG